RNAcentral lists this non-coding RNA (31 nucleotides) under Rattus norvegicus (Norway rat). Lineage: Eukaryota; Metazoa; Chordata; Mammalia; Rodentia; Muridae. The record is from RNAcentral.
UAACAGCCAUAUUAAUUUCAGCCCUCUUAGU